AUUGAACGCUGGCGGCAGGCCUAACACAUGCAAGUCGAACGGUAACAGGAAACAGCUUGCUGUUUCGCUGACGAGUGGCGGACGGGUGAGUAAUGUCUGGGAAACUGCCUGAUGGAGGGGGAUAACUACUGGAAACGGUAGCUAAUACCGCAUAACGUCGCAAGACCAAAGAGGGGGACCCUCGGGCCUCUUGCCAUCGGAUGUGCCCAGAUGGGAUUAGCUUGUUGGUGGGGUAACGGCUCACCAAGGCGACGAUCCCUAGCUGGUCUGAGAGGAUGACCAGCCACACUGGAACUGAGGCACGGUCCAGACUCCUACGGGAGGCAGCAGUGGGGAAUAUUGCACAAUGGGCGCAAGCCUGAUGCAGCCAUGCCGCGUGUAUGAAGAAGGCCUUCGGGUUGUAAAGUACUUUCAGCGGGGAGGAAGGGAGUAAAGUUAAUACCUUGGCUCAUUGACGUUACCCGCAGAAGAAGCACCGGCUAACUCCGUG
This 490-nucleotide ribosomal RNA is filed under the name uncultured bacterium. RNAcentral describes it as "partial 16S ribosomal RNA". It matches the Rfam family "Bacterial small subunit ribosomal RNA", at positions 30 to 507 of the family's 1533-position model. The record is from RNAcentral.